This is an RNA transcript of Acipenser ruthenus (sterlet), 5340 nucleotides long. It is a transcript of the gene named muscleblind-like protein 1, with no coding region annotated. Lineage: Eukaryota; Metazoa; Chordata; Actinopteri; Acipenseriformes; Acipenseridae. The transcript has 13 exons. The record is from RefSeq and is a predicted model, not a curated record.
CAGCAAGCAGAGCAGCCAGCAGAGAUAAGAGUCUGCAAAGCUAUAUUCAACAGCCUUUCCACUGCAGCUGAAUGUGUAGAGACUGCCAGAAUGCCUUUCUGAUAAUAGCUUGAACAAGUUCAUUUUAAUUUCUUUGUCAUCCUCAAAUAAUGAUUUCCACAGUGCCUUGGGCACUGUCUCUAUGGUUUGGUUUGAUCUGAGGAGGGAAAAAAAAAUGUGAGAGGUUGGUACUAAAGAAGUGCCUUUCCUGACGUCUCUGCUGCUUGGAACCGCUUCUAGAGCAGUCACUGCUUUUGCCUUGCUUGCUGCCAGCUAGACUGCAACGACAGCACAUCUACUCUCCAGCUCUAGUCCAGCUGCCCCCACCUGUAAUUGAGCAAACACAUCCUCAGUAUCCAGGCAUUGCCUUUUCAUUGCUGCUUUACUGUACAAACAAAACUUUUUUUUUUUAUUGGUUUCUCUCUGAAAGAAAACAUAAGACGUUUUACUGCCAUUAAAUUGACAAGGUGGUCAGGUUUCGAUUGUUGCUGUACACUGCUGCACACUCUAUGCCAGUCUGAUCAAUAACAAUUGCACUAUAAAACCCAGUUGCCAAUUCAGCUGUGGGGAGAUUACCUUUCAAACAACUCUACUGGAAGCAGUUUGAAAAGCCAGUGUCAGCAAAGAGUCUGCCACAUUUUCAUGCUUAUGUUGGGCUCCAAUUUGGGCUCAAAUAUAGUUCAGGCCAGAUUGUUUGAUAUAUCUAUUCACUGCUGAUAUUAUUGCUUUAAAAUUACUUUUUGUUAAGUAAUUCGUUUUUAGGGUUUACAGAGGACACCCAGUAUAAGUUUUCUGAAGUGCACCUCCGAAACAAAGAAAUAUUACAAAAGAAAAAUUAAAUUUAAGUAUUUGUAGGUAACAUUUUUAUUCAAUAAAACAUACCACAGGUUGCCUAUAGCUUUUUAUUUUCGAUUUAAUUUCAACCACCUAUAAAUUUCAAACAUGGCAGUCAAUAUGGCACAAAUACGGGACACAAAAUGGCUCACCCUGGAAGUGUGCAGAGAGUUCCAAAGAGGGACUUGCUCGCGGCCAGACACGGAAUGUAAAUUUGCACAUCCUGCAAAAAGCUGCCAAGUUGAAAAUGGAAGAAUAAUCGCCUGCUUUGACUCUUUAAAAGGCCGCUGCUCACGAGAAAACUGCAAAUAUCUGCAUCCUCCUCAACACUUAAAAACACAGCUGGAGAUAAAUGGACGCAAUAACCUAAUUCAGCAGAAAAAUAUGGCUAUGCUGGCCCAGCAGAUGCAGCUUGCCAACGCCAUGAUGCCUAGUACUCAGUUACAGCCUAUGAUAGACCGUUUUCUUAUUCACCCUGAAUCUUCAUACAAUUCGUCCCCCCGUUUCUUUCAACCAAUGUUCUCUGUCUCCCCAAACCUAGCCACCAAUGCGGCAGCAGCUUUCAACCCCUACAUGGGGCCAGUGUCCCCAGGCUUGCUCCCAGCUGAAAUGAUGCCUACCGGUCCAAUGCUGGUAACAGGGAACCCUGCUGUCCCUGGCCCUGCAGCUGCAGCUGCUGCUGCUCAGAAACUAAUGAGGACAGAUAGACUGGAGGUUUGCAGGGAGUACCAACGUGGAAACUGCACAAGAGGUGAAACUGACUGCCGGUUCGCUCAUCCCUCUGACAGCACGAUGAUUGAUACCAAUGACAACACAGUCACCGUGUGCAUGGAUUACAUUAAAGGGAGAUGCUCCAGGGAAAAGUGUAAAUAUUUUCACCCUCCUGCACACCUGCAGGCCAAGAUAAAAGCCGCGCAGCACCAGGUCAAUCAGGCUGCAGCUGCACAGGCAGCAGCCAGCGCCAUGACUCAGUCGGCUGUCAAAUCACUGAAGCGACCCCUCGAGGCAACCUUUGACCUGGGAAUCCCUCCAGGUGUACUUCCCCCAUUACCAAAGAGACCCGCACUUGAAAAAACCAAUGGUGCCACCUCAGUCUUUAAUACUGGUGUUUUCCAAUACCAACAGGCCCUUGCCAACAUGCAGUUUCAGCAACAAGCCUUCAUCCCUUCAGGCUCAAUAUUGUGCAUGACACCUGCAUCAAGUGUUGUUUCCAUGAUGCACGGCGCCACACCCUCCUCUGUGUCUGCAGCAUCAUCGUCUGCCUCAAGUGUUCCCUUCGCUGCAGCAGCCUCAGCCAACCAGAUUCCCCAAGAAUACAUGCAUUUGGUAUGUAUGAUGUAGUUUUUCUUCAGAAUAUAAAUGUGCAAGAUACCCAUAAUGUCUGCAGACCAUCUGACUAGCCACAAGUAUGUUACUCAGAUGUAGGAGUCUCUUCACAAAACAAUCAUACUAAAGAUACAAGUGUGCUGGUAUACAGAUCAAAUGUCAUCGUUCAUGUAAAAUUACAUCAAAGAAAGACCUCAUCCCCUCAGCAGGAGAAGUUGACAUAAUGCAUGCUAACACCACAAGACAGAGGGCAGAAGACCUGGACAUACAAAUACUGCACACCGACACAUAUAUACUCUGUAUGUUUUACUAAUCUUAAAGCUGAGGGGGACUGUGUUACUGUCCACUAUGCAUCACUGUCUGCCUUUUCUACUAUCGUUGUAUGCAUACAUUUCAAUACACAUGCAUAAAUAAUCCAUUACUUUAAAGGUCUAGUCCUCACCGAAAAGGAAGACCGUGAUGUAGUUAUCAUGUCUAACAUUGGUACGUCUGUAGACCAAGAAAUGGUUUUGUUUUUUAAUUCUGAUAUAUUUCUUUCAUGGUUUACAAAUAACAAAAGUGCACCUUGUAUUUAAAAAAAAAAAUGCCAUUAUAGAUGAGAGUCGAUUGUGCAUGCAGUGUUCUGUGUGUAAGGGUUAUAUUUUUAACGGCAUAGAUUGUAAGAGGAAGCAAAGGAGGUAUCUGACAGAGAUGAAUGUGCUGAGCAAAACUACAACUGUGUAUAUUAUAAAGCACAACGUGGCUUUAAGUACCAUGUUAUAGGAUACACAUUAAGUGCCAUAGACUGUACAUCCAAACUAGAGUAUUAUUCCUGCAGUGUUAUUGUGUUUACCUUAUGAACGCCACUUUUUUUUUUGUUACUGCUAGUGCUAACUGUGUAGAGGGCACCAUUAAGGUUUCAGUGUCAAAACAGUCUCAGAAAUGGUAUAUUUUCCUUAAGAUGUAAUUCAACACACCUACUUACAGCUGGCAUGACAUGAACAUUCAUACUAUAAUACUAUAAUACUAUUAUACCAUAGAACUUGUAUAUUGCAUAACAUGCAGUGUUUUUUUCUGAGAAGUAUAUUGUGCCAUUUCUGAGAUAAUGAAAUGCAAAAGGGUUUAGCAGGGUUUUUUUUUUUUAGCCUUUGUCAGAAGUCUUUAGACUAUAAAUGCUUUGCGGAGAAGGGUUUUGCUUUGAGCUGAAUGUUACAUUACAGUCACAGUCGAUGAAAUGGUGACUCUAAACUAUGAUGAAAGAAGCACUGUCAAAAGAAGCAUGAUAAACCAAAAUCAUUGAGUACAGGAGGUGUUUAAAUAGUUACAGGGUGGGAAAUGUAUUUGGGUGAAUUUUAUAUGUGUUUUUAUUAUUAUUAUUAUUAUUAUUAUUAUUAUUAUUAUUAUUAUUAUUAUUAUUAUUAUUGUUCUUAUACUUUUUUAAGAUUAAUGGCAUAUAGCCUUAGAAAAAAUGUUUUAUUAGUUGUGCUGCCUUUUUUUUUUCAUCCAAAGGUUUUUUGUUUUGUUUUUUUGUUAACAUUUUGCAGCUUGUGAUGAUUAGUUGAGCCCUUUUCAGCAAAUGCAUAGAUGACUGAAGUGGGGCCAGAUUCCUGAUAGUAUAGAAACGGAACAGAAGAAGCGAGAAUUCUGUUCUAGAAUUUUCCGUACUUCCUAGCCUAUACAGGAGGAGUGAUGUGUUUAUUAGUACAAGAAUGAUGUGUUGAUUUUACUGAUUGUACUGUAAAUCUAUAAGCCUUAGAUUACAUUAUGGGUUUGAACCCAUCAAAAUGUAAUUUCAAUCAUGAGAAGAUUAUAUAGGUCAUAAACACAACAUGUUAUUGUAUUUCUUACAUAUAGAAUUGUACUUUCUUUAUCAUGUUACAUUUAUAUAGUUUUUUCUUCUGUUUUAUUAGGUUGAUUUUCUAUUUCUUUUAAAGGAAAUUCAAUACUGUUUUAGUUUGUAGAUUUUUGUUUCAUUAGAUUUUUACUGAUAACCUUUUUAGAGUACUAAUUCUAUUAAAAUUAGUUAUUUGUUUCCUUCAUACCAUACUCCUACUUUUGAAUUUAUAUGUAGUAUUGAUUAAUUAUGUGUAUUAUUGUAAACUAAAAUUAUUUUUAUUUUACUGUUCGUGAAGUUUAAGAAUGUCAGUAAUUUUCUUGUCUUGUUUGUAUUCUUUGAACAAAGACCUUUUAUAUGGAUAUCUUACAAUGAGGAAAUCAUUGCUAAGAAAGAAGUUAAGUUGUUGCUAUAGCAACAAUCCUGGCAGACAACUGAGUAAUAUUUUGAUGAUUUUUUUUUUUUUUUUUUUUUUUGGUUUGUAAGUAGUCAUUAUUAUAUAAAAAAAUAAAUCUAGUUCCUAGAUGUUAGAGUAAAAUUUAUUUUUUACUGUAUCCAUUUCAAAUAGUAAAAUAUUGUUUGAAUAUUUUUUUUAAAUCCCUGGAUGACAGGCCUUGUUUAAAAAAAAAAAAAAAGCUGCAUAAUCAAUAGAUCAAGGGAUCUUUGUGACUAAUUCAAAUAAACAAAGUUUACGUAGUAAGAUUGAAUCACUGAUCGUGCAAACUCUUGAAGGUUGAUUAUGCUACAAUUGAAAGUGUUGGAACCUAUGGGAAGAAGGUUGAGUUUUUGCACUUCUGUAUAUAGUCAAAAAAGAAAGAAACAUGUAUAAUAAUAAGAUCUUAUUUUGAAUAAUAAAAAAAUGUCUAUAAUUACAAGGAAUUUUGUUAGGUUAUUAAAAAAAAAUGACAGGCUGAACAAAAUUGCUUGCAAAAGUGGCACAGAGGUAGCACUCCAAACCCCUUUAAGAAAAGGCAAAAUUGUUGCUUAGCUUUUUGUGAACAGCUUGUAGUUUGCCAGGAGUUUUUCAGCUGGAAAGAUAUGCCAUCCUCCCAAGAUCUUGUACCGAUCCAAACACUGCACCGGUCCAGACCUGCCUUACCAUCACAGUAAAGAGCAGGUCCCAAAACAAAUGGGUUCAAGUCAUGAAGCGAUAUUUUCCUUACAUUUGUCAAAAUAUUUUCAUGUUUAAGAAGAAAAAAAAACAGCAGCAUAUGUUCAAGAUAUAUUCAAUAACUCUAAUGUACUGAAUUUCAGUGGUAUAUUAAAAAAAAAAAAAAUAAUCACAGAUUUAAAGAGAUAACAAGAGAUCAUAAAACACACCAUAGCUG